AUGAAGAGUCAAAAUGAGAAUAAAACAGACAAGUGUGUAUCAGCAAACUCAAACUCUUCUGUGUAAGAAUUUUCUUAAGAAAUGGAGGAUGAAAAGAGAGAGUGCAUUGGUAUGUAAGACAGUUUGUCUCCUUCUCCAGUUUUAUUUUGUUGCUUAAUGAUUUCUAAUGUUAUUCUUUAAUUUGAAGACCAGAUGUGUUGGUUUUUAGGUUGUCUCUAUUUGUAUUUGUUUAAUUGAGAAACUCAUAAUAGUUUUUGAACAAUAACCUAGAAUUGUAAAGACUAAAUUACUAUUCAGAUCUUUAAAAAGAGAUUAAGUGCACACUUAAUUAAGUGGUAAAUUGUAGGAACUGUUAAAGCUACCACUUUAUCCCAUUUAGAGCCAAAUAAUUGGCCUACAAUAAAUGUUAACUUCAUGGUCUCAUAUUUAAGACUGUUAAUUUUCUACCUAAAGAUUUUUCUGAGAUUAUGAUCACGUCACACCACUGUGGGUUUGCAUCAGGCAGCAGGCUAACUGCAGGUGACUAGUUCAGAUUUCAGUGGCUUAACUGUGAAGGUUUAUGUUUUACUCUUAUUGCAAUCUGAAGGUUGUAGUGGAGAAGUGAGUUGGGUAGGUGGUACACUCUUCUCCACACAGUCAUUCAGAAACCUAGACUUCUUCAACUAGAGACUUUGAGAUCUCACUAGAGCUUACAAACCUUCACUGAGUUUUCUGCAUCCAGUCAGAAGAUGAGGAAAAGGAAUAUUUGAGACAGAGUAUGGAAGGUUGUGUGAGGGUCCCUGAACAUGGCAAGGAAGUAGCAUGUUUUCACUUCUGUCCACAUCCCACUGGCCAGAACUCAAACAUUUGGUCUCACUUAAUUUUGGGAGGUGGGGAACCUAGUCUAACGUGAUAUAAAGGAGGAAGUGAUUAUUGAUAUUGUUGAUCCACUGGUUAUUGACAUUGUUGAUCCACUAGUGAGUCUUUAACACUCAGUUCCUUCUUAUUUCCUUUAGUUUUUGAUACAAGGGUAUCAGAACUGACAAAACAUUUGCCCCAUGAACCCUAUCUAGAAUACUUAUCUGGAGUCUUGAAUUAGCUACCUAUGUGUGUAGAGAUUAGCACCCUAUUAGGCGUCCUGUUAGUUUCUAAUGGCUUGUGACGUAGUUCAUGAAUUAUUGUAAAAGUUUAGUUCUAGAAUCUGAGAAGGAUAUAUGUGGCUAUUAACUUGGUAUUUAUAUUCAUUGGGUUCUCCUUGCUCUGAAGAGUAGAGAAUGGAGAGACCAACUACAUGGCAAAACUGAAAUCUGUCUUCAACAGUUCUUUGAUGUGGACUGAUUUUAAGGGAAAAUGAUCUAAGCUCAUCUAUUUCUUCUUACUUCUUUUUGUCAAAUAUUUUAUAGGAAUGGGGCCUCCCAAUACUGCUAGGACUGUAUGUGGGUCUGCUUUCAGAAGUCAAAGAAAAUAACCAAUUACCUGAAAUACCUCCUCAAGAUCUGGGAAGGGUAGACAAAUUUAAUGUCUCUUCUAUAAUGAUUGUGUAUACUCCAGUCUCUAAUAUAACUCAGCAGAUAAUGAAUACAACAGCAUUUGCUCCCUUAAUGAAAG
RNAcentral lists this long non-coding RNA (1587 nucleotides) under Marmota monax (woodchuck). Lineage: Eukaryota; Metazoa; Chordata; Mammalia; Rodentia; Sciuridae. The record is from RNAcentral.